GAAACUCCUGCUAAUACCGCAUAGCCAUGAGCACCGCAUGGAGCUCAUGCCAAAUAUCCUUUCGGGGAUAGCGCAGGGAUGGACCUAUGGCGCAUUAGCUUGUUGGCGGGACAACGGCCCACCAAGGCAACGAUGCGUAGCCGGCCUGAGAGGGCGGACGGCCACAUUGGGACUGAGACACGGCCCAGACUCCUACGGGAGGCAGCAGUAGGGAAUUUUCGGCAAUGGGGGAAACCCUGACCGAGCGACGCCGCGUGAGCGAAGAAGGCCUUCGGGUCGUAAAGCUCUGUUGUAAAGGAAGAACGGCGCAUACAGGAAAUGGUAUGCGAGUGACGGUACUUUACCAGAAAGCCACGGCUAACUACGUGCCAGCAGCCGCGGUAAUACGUAGGUGGCGAGCGUUAUCCGGAAUCAUUGGGCGUAAAGAGGGAGCAGGCGGCCGCAAGGGUCUGUGGUGAAAGACCGAAGCUAAACUUCGGUAAGCCAUGGAAACCGGGCGGCUAGAGUGCGGAAGAGGAUCGUGGAAUUCCAUGUGUAGCGGUGAAAUGCGUAGAUAUAUGGAGGAACACCAGUGGCGAAGGCGACGGUCUGGGCCGCAACUGACGCUCAUUCCCGAAAGCGUGGGGAGCAAAUAGGAUUAGAUACCCUAGUAGUCCACGCCGUAAACGAUGGUCACUAAGUGUCGGGGGUCAAACCCCGGUGCU
Molecule: ribosomal RNA, 704 nt
Filed under: uncultured bacterium
Lineage: Bacteria
Description: bacterial SSU rRNA
Rfam family: Bacterial small subunit ribosomal RNA
Source: RNAcentral